GCAGAUAAACAAUCAAACAUAGAAUAAUAAAGCAGAACUCUUCAUCACUGAGCUGCUUAUAAGUUUCAGCAAAGACCUGACAGAUAGAGACAGAAUAGGCCCAAAUCUAAAGUGUAACCACCAUGUCUUUGUUUAACAAACUGAAAAUAAAACCUCUGAACAUGAUGGAGUUUGGUCAUUACAUCAACAAAUAUAAUUUAACCUGAAGCAAAGGUUCCAGACCUCUCUCUUAUCUGUCCUUUCAAUAUAAGGCCAUGACCAGCAAACCUGACGAAUUGAUUUUACGAAAACAGUAACUUUCACCAGGACACAGUAUUUACACUUCCUCAGGCACAUGUUCUCAGUAACAAGACAGUGUCUGAGAUCGAGCGGAAAUCACAUUCAGUCUUUCCUUCUCUAUUUACAUUUUCCAAUCUGUGUUUUUAAAAUGUAUUCUUUAUAGGUUUGUAUUGCUAAAAGAAAAAAGGAAAAUCCUUAUUUUCAACUGACUCAGUUAUGUGUCUGUGUUUUACUGACAGCAGCUGGCAUUACACUUUGGGGAACCUGAGGCUAAAUAAACAGACCUGCCCUGCGCUACUCGCUUUUGAAAAGUUUUCACCACAAAAACAGACUACUGGUAGUGACUGACAGUGAAUGAACAGUGUAUAUUAAAUAAGUUUCUCCCAGUUUUGAGAAAUGCAAAGAAGGCUGUGUGAACCUCUGCUUUUUGGUUGUAUUUACUUCAGCAGACAAAACCAACUGGAAGUUAAAAGACAAAAUGGAAACUGCUCUUUUAUUUAUUCACUUUUGUUGCUAUUGAACCUGUUUGAUAUACUGUGAUUAUUUGUUACUUUGAAGCUCUUAUAAAUUCUGAAAAUCUUAUCUACUAACAAAUCUAACUACUUUCUUACUGCUAUUCUCAUUUUCUUAUUGUAUCUUAUCGUUAUAAAUAUAUGACAUCCUGUUUGGACUUGCCUCGUGUGUAUGGUUACUUGACUUCCUGCCUUUGUGUGUUUUUUGCCAAACCAAUUAUUAGAGCUUUCCAGCUGUUGCUGUUACUAGCAUGUAUUCCUUCUUCUCUAACAUGUAAUGUUACGCUACUGUGUAGGUGCUAUACUGACUGACAUCCUGUGUAUGACCUCAGGCUCACAAGUGAAGACAUCGAUUCCAAACUUGUACGUAAGUGUGGAGACAAUAUGGACAUUAAAAAGAGGAUGUGUGAACUCUACCUGGAUGGGUCAUAUCCUCACACCAUCCAUGUACCACCAACAGUUCUGCUGCACCCACACUGGAGUCAUCUUCGAUGAUGUCAUCCAUACGGGCCUGGAGGAACCAGGUAUCAAAUAAAUUACCAGGUCAGUGUGGCUGUGAACACCCCAGUGAACCAGGACUUGAACAAGCUCAGUGAGUUUUUUGCUGCUGCCAGCAAUGUUACUGAGACAUUAAAAAUACUGUUGCCAUUUAAAAAUCAUUUAAAAAUCAUUUAAAAAUCCCAACAACAAGGGAGACUAAAGAUUUAGUGGUCAAUCAGUGAAUCUGGUGAAUUUAAAACAAAAAACAUCUGCUUGGUGUAUUUCAUCUCCACAUCUGUGUCUUAGUAUCUUUGUUUCCAAUGCUGGGCUGUCGACAGUUAAAACACAACACUGGAAAUGUGACGGCUGAACCUAACAAUUCAAAUUUUGGUAUUUAUGUCAUUUAACUAAACCAGUUAAACACAUAUUUACUUCAUUGCUUUCUGUUCUUCUGUAAACAUUAUCAAAUCCUCUGCUCUGUGUAAUUAAAGCUUGACUCAGCAUUCA
This is a long non-coding RNA of Lates calcarifer (barramundi perch), 1778 nucleotides long. RefSeq lists it as uncharacterized. The transcript has 3 exons. Lineage: Eukaryota; Metazoa; Chordata; Actinopteri; Centropomidae. The record is from RefSeq and is a predicted model, not a curated record.